Molecule: non-coding RNA, 148 nt
Filed under: Nomascus leucogenys (northern white-cheeked gibbon)
Lineage: Eukaryota; Metazoa; Chordata; Mammalia; Primates; Hylobatidae
Source: Rfam by way of RNAcentral
GCUGGGCAUGGUGGCACGUGCCUGUAAUCCCAGCUACUUGGGAGGCUGAGGCAGGAGAAUCGCUUGAACCCAGGAGGCGGAGGUUGCAGUGAGCUGAGAUCGCACCACUGCACUCCAGCCUGGGCAACAGAGCAAGACCCUGUCUCAA